This 463-nucleotide ribosomal RNA is filed under the name uncultured bacterium. Its description in RNAcentral is "partial 16S ribosomal RNA". It matches the Rfam family "Bacterial small subunit ribosomal RNA", at positions 30 to 507 of the family's 1533-position model. The record is from RNAcentral.
CGAACGCUGGCGGCGUGCUUACCACAUGCACGUCGAACGGAAAGGCCCCUUUGGGGGUCCUCGAGUGGCGAACGGGUGAGUAACACGUGAGUAACCUGCCCUUGACUUCGGGAUAACUUCAGGAAACUGGGGCUAAUACCGGAUAGGAAUCCUUGCUGCAUGGUGGGGGUUGGAAAGCUUCGGCGGUUUUGGAUGGACUCGCGGCUUAUCAGCUUGUUGGUGGGGUAGUGGCUUACCAAGGCUUUGACGGGUAGCCGGCCUGAGAGGGCGACCGGCCACAUUGGGACUGAGAUACGGCCCAGACUCCUACGGGAGGCAGCAGUGGGGAAUAUUGCACAAUGGGCGGAAGCCUGAUGCAGCAACGCCGCGUGCGGGAUGACGGCCUUCGGGUUGUAAACCGCUUUCAGCAGGGGCGAAGCUUGUGGUGACGGUACCUGCAGAAGAAGCACCGGCUAACUACGUG